This is a long non-coding RNA of Pecten maximus, 749 nucleotides long. RefSeq lists it as uncharacterized. Lineage: Eukaryota; Metazoa; Mollusca; Bivalvia; Pectinida; Pectinidae. The transcript is spliced from 3 exons. The record is from RefSeq and is a predicted model, not a curated record.
UUUAGCGGGAGAUUUGUAUUACAAGUGGCGGCCAUUUUGUUUGUUUACGGAAACGUGACGAAAGCUUAGACCUUGAACAAAAUCACGUUAUAUAUAUAUAUAUUUAUUGGCGACAUUUAAUUUCCCCACUCACGGAAUACCAUCGACAAACUGGGAUCAGAAUAUCAAAUUUCGUCUAGCUUUUGGCGACUUAUGAUACCCCUUUCACCGGCAAACACUGAAUUAUCGGACAACAUGAAAUCAGGGACUAAAUUCACCAGCAUUCAUGAUCCUCGGACCACCCGGCCCCUACGCACAGCCGAUUUAUAAAUGUUGCAUCUUUCAAUCAGUGUCAAUCCGGAAGAAGAACCCUGAUCAGCUCCUGGAAAAAUCAGUGUUCUUGCAGUAUUGUCAGUCAAAUCUCAAGGAAAGGAUCCCAGAAGAGGAACAUUUACAUUAUUUCAGACUUUUUUCUUUCCUGUGUAACAAUGCCUCAAACAGCUAACACAUUUUAUAUAUAGUAUACAAUACAAUGUGUAUUAAUAACAGUCCAGUUAGAGUGCUGUGUUAUGCGGUAAAAAUACUUAAUUCUUGAUGACAUGUUGGUUUUAUGUUUACAUUAAACGGUAGUUAUAAUAUAUACUAAAGAAACAUAGUGGAUAAUGCCUUGUACAGGAGCAGGAGUAUGACAGUGUAAUAGUACAUGACUGCUGCGUUCAUCCAUGGAAGGAAUCUGUUAUUCGAAAUAAAGUUUUCCAUAAGGAAAAAAA